UACGUAGGUGGCAAGCGUUGUCCGGAUUUAUUGGGCGUAAAGCGAGCGCAGGCGGUUCCUUAAGUCUGAUGUGAAAGCCCACGGCUCAACCGUGGAAGGUCAUUGGAAACUGGGGAACUUGAAUGCAGAAGAGGAGAGUGGAAUUCCAUGUGUAGCGGUGAAAUGCGUAGAUAUAUGGAGGAACACCAGUGGCGAAGGCGACUCUCUGGUCUGUAAUUGACGCUGAGGCUCGAAAGCGUGGGGAGCAAACAGG
Molecule: ribosomal RNA, 253 nt
Filed under: uncultured bacterium
Lineage: Bacteria
Description: partial 16S ribosomal RNA
Rfam family: Bacterial small subunit ribosomal RNA
Source: RNAcentral